UCUACUAUCGAUAUUUUCUGCUGCCUCCUACCUGAUCUGUCUCUGCUGUAGCUUAUGCUGUCUGCUGCUCCAAUUGAAUUUCAACUUCUGCAGAUCAUUGACAUUCAAACCAGAAAGUUCUUCUCCCAACAGCUGCCUGCAAUAAUGAUGUCACUGGAUUAUCAUAGCCUCCUUUGGGAGAGAUACAAGGAUGGAGAAGGAAUUUGCUUCUGGUAUUCAUGGUGUUAAAGAAGUCCCUAAUAUGGAUGCUCGAAUAUAUGAUCUAUAAAAUGUUUGAAGGCUUCGUAAUGUGCAUCAAAACAUUUGAUUAUGAGACCUAUAUUUUCU
Molecule: long non-coding RNA, 327 nt
Organism: Cynara cardunculus var. scolymus (artichoke)
Lineage: Eukaryota; Viridiplantae; Streptophyta; Magnoliopsida; Asterales; Asteraceae
Exons: 3
Source: RefSeq, a predicted model, not a curated record